This 215-nucleotide ribosomal RNA is filed under the name Gambierdiscus australes. Its description in RNAcentral is "partial Bacterial large subunit ribosomal RNA". It matches the Rfam family "Bacterial large subunit ribosomal RNA", at positions 2570 to 2784 of the family's 2925-position model. Lineage: Eukaryota; Dinophyceae; Gonyaulacales; Pyrocystaceae. The record is from RNAcentral.
GGUUGGGCUGUUCGCCCAUUAAAGCGGUACGCGAGCUGGGUUCAGACCGGCGUGAGCCAGGUCGGUCCCUAUCUGCUGUGGGCGUUGCAAACUUGAGAGGAGUCAACCCUAGUACGAGAGGAUUGGGUUGGACGGACCCCUGGUGAUCCUGUUGCGCCGCUCGGUGCAUCGCAGGGUAGCUACGUUCGGCAGGGAUAACCGCUGAAAGCAUCUAA